RNAcentral lists this ribosomal RNA (498 nucleotides) under uncultured bacterium. RNAcentral describes it as "partial 16S ribosomal RNA". It matches the Rfam family "Bacterial small subunit ribosomal RNA", at positions 28 to 523 of the family's 1533-position model. The record is from RNAcentral.
GAUGAACGCUAGCGGCAGGCCUAAUACAUGCAAGUCGGACGGGAUUUGGGAGCUUGCUCCUAAUGAGAGUGGCGCACGGGUGCGUAACACGUAUGUAACCUACCUUAAUCAGGGGGAUAGCCUCUCGAAAGAGAGAUUAACGCCGCAUAACAUAUUUUUAUGGCAUCGUAGAAAUAUCAAAUAUUUAUAGGAUUAAGAUGGGCAUGCGGAACAUUAGCUAGUUGGUAAGGUAACGGCUUACCAAGGCUACGAUGUUUAGGGGAUCUGAGAGGAUGACCCCCCACACUGGUACUGAGACACGGACCAGACUCCUACGGGAGGCAGCAGUAAGGAAUAUUGGUCAAUGGGCGCAAGCCUGAACCAGCCAUGCCGCGUGCAGGAAGACGGCCCUAUGGGUUGUAAACUGCUUUUGUACCGGAAUAAACCCUUUUACGUGUAGAAGGCUGAAUGUACGGUAAGAAUAAGGAUCGGCUAACUCCGUGCCAGCCGCCGCGGUAA